CCCAGACUCCUACGGGAGGCAGCAGUGGGGGAUAUUGCACAAUGGGGGGAACCCUGAUGCAGCGACGCCGCGUGGGUGAAGGAGCGUUUCGGCGCGUAAAGCCCUAUCGGCAGGGAAGAAGGAGGACGGUACCUGACUAAGAAGCCCCGGCUAACUACGUGCCAGCAGCCGCGGUAAUACGUAGGGGGCAAGCGUUAUCCGGAUUUACUGGGUGUAAAGGGGGCGCAGACGGCAGCGCAAGCCAGGGGUGAAAGCCCGGGGCCCAACCCCGGGACUGCUCUUGGAACUGCGCGGCUGGAGUGCAGGAGGGGCAGGCGGAAUUCCUGGUGUAGCGGUGAAAUGCGUAGAUAUCAGGAGGAACACCGGUGGCGAAGGCGGCCUGCUGGACUGCGACUGACGUUGAGGCCCGAAAGCGUGGGGAGCAAACAGGAUUAGAUACCCCGGAC
Molecule: ribosomal RNA, 446 nt
Filed under: uncultured bacterium
Lineage: Bacteria
Description: partial 16S ribosomal RNA
Rfam family: Bacterial small subunit ribosomal RNA
Source: RNAcentral